Molecule: ribosomal RNA, 219 nt
Filed under: Campephilus principalis (Ivory-billed woodpecker)
Lineage: Eukaryota; Metazoa; Chordata; Aves; Piciformes; Picidae
Description: partial 12S ribosomal RNA
Source: RNAcentral
GCCCGGCCAUAAAUUCAAAUGCUUUNCCCCCACCCAAGCAUUCGCCAGGGAACUACGAGCACAAACGCUUAAAACCCUAAGGACUUGGCGGUGUCCCAAACCCACCUAGAGGAGCCUGUUCUAUAAUCGAUAACCCACGCUACACCCAACCCCCUCUCGCCUCAGGCAGCCUANAUACCGCCGUCGCCAGCUCACCUUCCCUGAAAGCCCAACAGUGAA